AUUGAACGCUGGCGGCAGGCCUAAGACAUGCAAGUCGAGCGAGAAAGCCCUUCGGGGUGAGUACAGCGGCGGACGGGUGAGUAACGCGUAGGAAUCUACCUAGUAGUGGGGGACAACUCGUGGAAACGCGAGCUAAUACCGCAUACGCCCUACGGGGGAAAGCGGGGGAUCUUCGGACCUCGUGCUAUUAGAUGAGCCUGCGUAAGAUUAGCUAGUUGGUGGGGUAAUGGCCUACCAAGGCGACGAUCUUUAGCUGGUCUGAGAGGAUGAUCAGCCACACCGGGACUGAGACACGGCCCGGACUCCUACGGGAGGCAGCAGUCGGGAAUAUUGCGCAAUGGGCGAAAGCCUGACGCAGCCAUGCCGCGUGUGUGAAGAAGGCCCUAGGGUUGUAAAGCACUUUCAAUUGGGAGGAAAAGCUAAUGGUUAAUAGCCAUUAGCCCUGACGUUACCUUUAGAAGAAGCACCGGCUAACUCCG
This 479-nucleotide ribosomal RNA is filed under the name uncultured Alteromonadales bacterium. RNAcentral's name for it is "bacterial SSU rRNA". It matches the Rfam family "Bacterial small subunit ribosomal RNA", at positions 30 to 505 of the family's 1533-position model. The record is from RNAcentral. Lineage: Bacteria; Pseudomonadati; Pseudomonadota; Gammaproteobacteria; Alteromonadales.